Molecule: long non-coding RNA, 429 nt
Organism: Notothenia coriiceps (black rockcod)
Lineage: Eukaryota; Metazoa; Chordata; Actinopteri; Perciformes; Nototheniidae
Exons: 3
Source: RefSeq, a predicted model, not a curated record
GGAGAUAGAACUACGAUUUUUGAAAGGACAGGAGACCGACAGUCGCCACCAUGGUUUGCUGUGCUGCCUGGGGAUGCUCAAAUCGCUCCGAGAAAGGAGUACGAAUGUACGGCUUCCCCACUGACACAGAGCGGAGGAAAAAAUGGCUGGCUCAAGUCAGCAGGAGCAAUUUCACGACCAACAGCAAAAAAAAUAUGUGAGGUUAUUAUAUACAAACACUGCAUUUGCACUUUUUCACAAAACGAAAACCACACCAUUGGGAAAGCUUAAUGUUUUGUUUAAUACAAAAAAACAGGGAAAGGCUUGAAAAACACAGAGUUGAGACUCAGGGUGCAGGGUGAGGGUCUCAGUGCAGGUAUUCAGGCUCCAUUGAAUCCCCCUCUGGUUCUUGUGCUGAAAGAGGGAGUAACAGACAGGAGAAAGGGUUAU